This 1540-nucleotide ribosomal RNA is filed under the name Staphylococcus aureus. Its description in RNAcentral is "16S ribosomal RNA". It matches the Rfam family "Bacterial small subunit ribosomal RNA". Lineage: Bacteria; Bacillati; Bacillota; Bacilli; Caryophanales; Staphylococcaceae. The record is from RNAcentral.
AGAGUUUGAUCCUGGCUCAGGAUGAACGCUGGCGGCGUGCCUAAUACAUGCAAGUCGAGCGAACGGACGAGAAGCUUGCUUCUCUGAUGUUAGCGGCGGACGGGUGUGUAACACGUGGAUAACCUACCUAUAAGACUGGGAUAACUUCGGGAAACCGGAGCUAAUACCGGAUAAUAUUUUGAACCGCAUGGUUCAAAAGUGAAAGACGGUCUUGCUGUCACUUAUAGAUGGAUCCGCGCUGCAUUAGCUAGUUGGUAAGGUAACGGCUUACCAAGGCAACGAUGCAUAGCCGACCUGAGAGGGUGAUCGGCCACACUGGAACUGAGACACGGUCCAGACUCCUACGGGAGGCAGCAGUAGGGAAUCUUCCGCAAUGGGCGAAAGCCUGACGGAGCAACGCCGCGUGAGUGAUGAAGGUCUUCGGAUCGUAAAACUCUGUUAUUAGGGAAGAACAUAUGUGUAAGUAACUGUGCACAUCUUGACGGUACCUAAUCAGAAAGCCACGGCUAACUACGUGCCAGCAGCCGCGGUAAUACGUAGGUGGCAAGCGUUAUCCGGAAUUAUUGGGCGUAAAGCGCGCGUAGGCGGUUUUUUAAGUCUGAUGUGAAAGCCCACGGCUCAACCGUGGAGGGUCAUUGGACACUGGAAAACUUGAGUGCAGAAGAGGAAAGUGGAAUUCCAUGUGUAGCGGUGAAAUGCGCAGAGAUAUGGAGGAACACCAGUGGCGAAGGCGACUUUCUGGUCUGUAACUGACGCUGAUGUGCGAAAGCGUGGGGAUCAAACAGGAUUAGAUACCCUGGUAGUCCACGCCGUAAACGAUGAGUGCUAAGUGUUAGGGGGUUUCCGCCCCUUAGUGCUGCAGCUAACGCAUUAAGCACUCCGCCUGGGGAGUACGACCGCAAGGUUGAAACUCAAAGGAAUUGACGGGGACCCGCACAAGCGGUGGAGCAUGUGGUUUAAUUCGAAGCAACGCGAAGAACCUUACCAAAUCUUGACAUCCUUUGACAACUCUAGAGAUAGAGCCUUCCCCUUCGGGGGACAAAGUGACAGGUGGUGCAUGGUUGUCGUCAGCUCGUGUCGUGAGAUGUUGGGUUAAGUCCCGCAACGAGCGCAACCCUUAAGCUUAGUUGCCAUCAUUAAGUUGGGCACUCUAAGUUGACUGCCGGUGACAAACCGGAGGAAGGUGGGGAUGACGUCAAAUCAUCAUGCCCCUUAUGAUUUGGGCUACACACGUGCUACAAUGGACAAUACAAAGGGCAGCGAAACCGCGAGGUCAAGCAAAUCCCAUAAAGUUGUUCUCAGUUCGGAUUGUAGUCUGCAACUCGACUACAUGAAGCUGGAAUCGCUAGAAAUCGAAGAUAAGCAUGCUACGGUGAAUACGUUCCCGGGUCUUGUACACACCGCCCGUCACACCACGAGAGUUUGUAACACCCGAAGCCGGUGGAGUAACCUUUUAGGAGCUAGCCGUCGAAGGUGGGACAAAUGAUUGGGGUGAAGUCGUAACAAGGUAGCCGUAUCGGAAGGUGCGGCUGGAUCACCU